AUGAACGCUGGCGGCGUGCCUAAUACAUGCAAGUCGAACGCAUCACGAAAGUGAUGAGUGGCGAACGGGUGAGUAAUACAUAAGUAACCUGGCAUCUACAGGGGGAUAACUGAUGGAAACGUCAGCUAAGACCGCAUAGGUGUAGAGAUCGCAUGAACUCUAUAUGAAAAGUGCUACGGGACUGGUAGAUGAUGGACUUAUGGCGCAUUAGCUGGUUGGUAGGGUAACGGCCUACCAAGGCGACGAUGCGUAGCCGACCUGAGAGGGUGACCGGCCACACUGGGACUGAGACACGGCCCAGACUCCUACGGGAGGCAGCAGUAGGGAAUUUUCGGCAAUGGGGGAAACCCUGACCGAGCAACGCCGCGUGAAGGAAGAAGUAAUUCGUUAUGUAAACUUCUGUCAUAGAGGAAGAACGGUGGAUAUAGGGAAUGAUAUCCAAGUGACGGUACUCUAUAAGAAAGCCACGGCUAACUACGUGCCAGCAGCCGCGGUAAUACGUAGGUGGCGAGCGUUAUCCGGAAUUAUUGGGCGUAAAGAGGGAGCAGGCGGCACUAAGGGUCUGUGGUGAAAGAUCGAAGCUUAACUUCGGUAAGCCAUGGAAACCGUAGAGCUAGAGUGUGUGAGAGGAUCGUGGAAUUCCAUGUGUAGCGGUGAAAUGCGUAGAUAUAUGGAGGAACACCAGUGGCGAAGGCGACGAUCUGGCGCAUAACUGACGCUCAGUCCCGAAAGCGUGGGGAGCAAAUAGGAUUAGAUACCCUAGUAGUCCACGCCGUAAACGAUGAGUACUAAGUGUUGGGAGUCAAAUCUCAGUGCUGCAGUUAACGCAAUAAGUACUCCGCCUGAGU
Molecule: ribosomal RNA, 848 nt
Filed under: human gut metagenome
Description: bacterial SSU rRNA
Rfam family: Bacterial small subunit ribosomal RNA
Source: RNAcentral